UUUAGCGGCCUUUUUUUAAAAACGCCACAACUGUCAAAUUUUUUUAACCAAAACUCCGUCGUUUUAGUUUCAUCCAAUUUAUUCGCUCCCGAUAGCUGUUCUUUUUCCCCUUUUAACAAAAUUUCCCUCAUUCCAUCUCUUCUCCUUUAAUCCCUAAAUUUUCAUCCCCAAGUUCUCAACCCAUUUGCCACCGAAGACGCCGACCGGACCACCUGCUGCAUCGCCCUCGACUAACCUCUCUGCAGCGUCGCCGUCGCCUGCUCAUCCUGCUCAGAAACGAGAUUAUAUUUUUCACAACGGUAAAUUAAAUGGGAAGCGCCAUGUACGACCUUACUACUUUGAGUUCGUCUCUCAUGUUAAUAAACGAUGGGAAGGUAAAACAAUAGUGGAUUUGUUCGCUCAAGAGUUCAGAGGUCGAUCUAGAGAUUACUGUAUUAUUUUUCUAGAAACAAUAUGCAACGAUGAAAAGAUUAUUGAAAGAAAUAUUCGCCUUAAAAUUCAACAAAGUCCUGACUAUGCAGAAGAAUUUCGAAGCUGGAUUACAAGACUUUACAACCCGGUUAGCUAAUUACGAAAAGGUUUAUAAACCAGUUGAUGAAGGGUCUUACAUCAAAAUGAUUGAUAUGGCUAGUGGGCAUGGUGGACAAAUACAAGUUAACAACAUCAGUGGCUAUCUUCCUGGACGAAACGUCUUCUUCUUGUGAUACCGGAGAAAUUUAUAUGAAGAAACUCGCAAACUUUGUUGAGAAGCGACUGAAAUCUGAAAGGACUGCUUCUCACCCUACAGAGAACAAUUCUGACAGCAAGUCCAAUUGAUGGAUUUCCAAAGGUUAGUGGGAAACCACAAGAAAGUAACUUAUAAAUCCUUUCUUUCACAUUCUAGCCCAUUCUGGCUGCUGAAUGAAGUAUAUAUUGAUAUGUUAACAGAGGAAAAACCAACUACACUAGAUUGCGGUCCAAGAACAAUUUGCAGGAGGCAGAUAAUGACUAGCUCCAACCUCUACGAAUGCUUGUGGGAGGCAUUGCACAGCGAAUAAGGAUGAUAACAUGCAGUUGACACCGUAUGUGCAAUGAAUCCGAAUUCAGAACACAUUUAUCCAGGAUGGGAAGGAGAUGGCAUUAGUGCUUUAUACUUAUCGCAGCUAUGUCAAAGCACUUCCUCAAGGGGUAUGUUGGAAUUCACAGUUCGGGAUUCAGAAACUUGCUGCUGAAAUCGGAGCUGCUUCGAUCUAUUGUGGAUUCUGGUUUUGAACAUCCUUCCGAAGGCAAAGUUUUAAACUCAUGUCUGAUGUUAACAUUUGUGAAUUCCAUGAAUUAAGUGAUUUUGUUUUUCUUGCUUUUAGUGACUUAUAAUGGUGGGCAGUAUAUAAGUUUGGUGCUUUAUUAUUUUGAUUCUAUAUUUAUAUUUAAUCUAAUUUUUAAUAUUUA
Gossypium arboreum is the source of this 1428-nucleotide long non-coding RNA. RefSeq lists it as uncharacterized. The transcript has 11 exons. The record is from RefSeq and is a predicted model, not a curated record. NCBI's taxonomy places the organism in Eukaryota, Viridiplantae, Streptophyta, Magnoliopsida, Malvales, Malvaceae.